Molecule: transfer RNA, 82 nt
Filed under: Chloroflexota bacterium
Lineage: Bacteria; Bacillati; Chloroflexota
Also listed under: 2 other names
Description: Chloroflexi bacterium (anaerobic digester metagenome) tRNA-Leu
Rfam family: tRNA
About the family: Transfer RNA (tRNA) molecules are approximately 80 nucleotides in length. Their secondary structure includes four short double-helical elements and three loops (D, anti-codon, and T loops). Further hydrogen bonds mediate the characteristic L-shaped molecular structure. tRNAs have two regions of fundamental functional importance: the anti-codon, which is responsible for specific mRNA codon recognition, and the 3' end, to which the tRNAs corresponding amino acid is attached (by aminoacyl-tRNA synthetases). tRNAs cope with the degeneracy of the genetic code in two manners: having more than one tRNA (with a specific anti-codon) for a particular amino acid; and 'wobble' base-pairing, i.e. permitting non-standard base-pairing at the 3rd anti-codon position.
Source: RNAcentral
GGGGAAGUGUCGGAACUGGCAGACGAGCAUGACUUAGGAUCAUGUGGAGCGAUCCGUGAGAGUUCAAGUCUCUCCUUCCCCA